UGUGGGUUUUGACUACACCACCCUCCCAAAAGUAACCCGGAAACGCAUCGUUGGUGGAGAAAUUGCAACUCCACAUUCAUUUCCAUGGAUGGCCGCUCUUGAAAACCGUGGUGUUUUGCAUUGCGGUGGGUCACUUCUGAAAGGCAGUUCUGACAGGUGUUCGUCCUAACUGCUGCCCACUGUUUGCAUGGAACUUCUGAGUCAGACUGGAAG
Molecule: long non-coding RNA, 213 nt
Organism: Haliotis rubra (blacklip abalone)
Lineage: Eukaryota; Metazoa; Mollusca; Gastropoda; Lepetellida; Haliotidae
Exons: 3
Source: RefSeq, a predicted model, not a curated record